Venturia canescens is the source of this 2269-nucleotide long non-coding RNA. RefSeq lists it as uncharacterized. NCBI's taxonomy places the organism in Eukaryota, Metazoa, Arthropoda, Insecta, Hymenoptera, Ichneumonidae. The transcript is spliced from 3 exons. The record is from RefSeq and is a predicted model, not a curated record.
GGGAAGCGAUUCGUUCAACGCAAUUGAUCCAGCGGAGCAAAUUUUUCAUUGGAAAACAAAUUCAAGUUGACCGAGUAUCAAUACAUGGAGUUCUGAGAAUCGUAUUUGGUUUUGAACACUCGUACGCGAUGCGAAACUUGCUGACAAAUUCUCAUUAUCGUCAGUUAUUGCAAUCGCAAAUUCCACGAGGAAAAUAUCUACGAAACAGCAAAUCCUCGAGCUGCCUUAACAUUUGGGAAAGUUCGAUUCUCGUGGGCCUUUUCGACUUCCCGUUUCCGAGGACGGAAAGAUUGGAAACAAACGGUGGCGGAGCAUCGAAUUGGAAAGACGAUGAACGGAAAAUCGAUCAUUUAACGUCUCAUGAAAGUUUGGCAAUUUAAUAAUUGUGAUUGGAAAAAAGAUUCGGAAAGAUCGCAAAAUUCGCAUUAAUGUCGGUCCUCCUUGGAAAGCCGUUCAUACACGAAUACGAGAAUGUAUAUUCACGAUACGUUUGUAUAUGGAGGUUUUACUUGUUUCUCAUCCACGCCGGCUGUCAGCGGGGCCGUUGAAAUAUCGUUCUGGCGAACUAGCCGGCGUUCGAUAAUUAGUUUACUCCUCAUUACGGCAUUGCUUCGGAUUAUUAGGCGCAUCAGCAGGCACUCGGGUUCGCGUAGGGGCGCGAGCGAUCGAGGAAAAGCGAGAGAGGGAUAGGAGGAGGAAGAAAUGAACAAAAAAGUGAAGGAGAUGAAAGUCUAUAUGUAUACGAAACAUCGAAAAAACGUCGACAGGGAGUGCAGGAGAGGAGUAAACGAAGCGCUAAUUAACGGAACGUUUAGGGGUUAGUCGACCGGAUGGUUGACCACGCCCGUAAAACGAUACCGAAAUUUGUAUUCUGCUGCCAAUUUUCCAUGGAUAGAUCGACGGAUAAGUUCGAGGAAGUUGUAACCAAUAGUUUCGGUGGUCAGGAGGAAGGUAACGAGAUAAAUGAGAGAGCAGGAGAGAGCGAGGGCGACUUUUGGCGUAACUUUUGCGCGCUCCUCCUCCCGGAGAUGGAGCACGCGGCAAUCUCGCUCCUUUGAUCUCGAUUCUGCCAAGUGGAUCGACGGAAUGCUUCCGAGAGAAUAUACAAGCCCUGAACUCAUGUAUAAUCGCGUACACAUGCGUGUGGAGUUUGAGGCAGAGGAGGAGCACGAUGCGCGGGAGCCAUCUCUGUUAAUCAUCGCGUAAUUACCGUUCCAAUUAUCAGAUGCUGAGAUACGAGUGCGCGAGGCUCGCGGACAGUCGCCGUGUGCAAGCCACUCGCAUUGCUGUGAUCGUGUUCACAUUGAAGCACUGGAAUAUGGAGCAGGUCACGUCGGAAGUAAUGCGACGAGAUAAAUGCCAGCGAUUCGUUCCUUUUUCUGUGUAAAUAACCAGGACUCGAGGAAUCAACUUAUCGGCUGAUAAAAUGGAGUGGUGUUCGCUCUGAGAAGUUGGACACUCGGAUAUAACACGCGCGUAGCCUUUAAUUCGGUGAUUCUGGUUGUUCUUAUCGUUUCUUCUCGCGCCGUCCAGUGGUAACGGAUAAUAAUAAAAAAGAGUGAAGAAAAAAAAUUAGUUACGUUCGUUGAAAGCGCGCGCGAGAGUCAUCGGACAAUACUUGUUCUUUCGCGGCCACAAGAGGGGAGGGGGUUGAACGUGCGGGGGGCGUUACCCGGCAUUCCUUGGUAAAUUAACUUAGCGGACAAAAUAUAUAUGUGUAUAUAUAUAUGGAGAAAGAGAGGAAGAAAGUAACGUAUAGAGUCGAGUAAGGAUGGUGGUCGUUGAGGAGGCUGCGAGGAGAAGAUUCGCGUUAUACACAAGCGACCGUCGGCGAGUCUCCUCUUUCUCCCGCCAAAUAUUCAUUUAAAAAGGUAAAUGCAAUUUUGCCGUUUUACGUGAUUGAGAUAAUGCUCGCCGAUUAACUGCUGCUGCUGCUGCGCACAGUUUUCUGAUGCUCCUUUACCCGUCUUUCUCCCUCUCCCUUUGCUUUUUUUCUGCACCCUUUUAGCCUGCUCGUCCUCCGCCGCACUCUCCACAUCACCCUUUUAUCGUACGUACCACUUUCUUCUCCUCACUUUUCCUACUCUUUCCUUUCGCCCAUCUCUCUUUCCUUUUCAGUCUCGCUGUCCAGCUUUUUCUCCCUCCCUCUCUCUCUCUCUCUCUCUUUCUAGAGCCAAACGUUUCUAAAAAACAAUAAAGUUUAUUUUACAUAUACACAGUAAAAUAAUGUCUAGACGUAAAAAAUUUGUAAACAAAUGUACUACGAAUA